This 279-nucleotide ribosomal RNA is filed under the name uncultured bacterium. RNAcentral describes it as "partial 23S ribosomal RNA". It matches the Rfam family "Bacterial large subunit ribosomal RNA", at positions 115 to 451 of the family's 2925-position model. The record is from RNAcentral.
UGAAUGGGGAAACCCGGCCGUAAGGUCAUCCUGCGCUGAAUAUAUAGGCGUAGGAAGCAAACCUGGGGAACUGAAACAUCUAAGUACCCAGAGGAAAGGACAUCAACCGAGACUCCGUUAGUAGUGGCGAGCGAACGCGGACCAGGCCAAUGCCGUUUAUUUUUUAACUGGAACCUUCUGGAAAGUUGGGCCCAAGUGGGUGAUAGCCCCGUACAGGUAAUAGAAAUAAACGGAUUCGAGUAGGGCGGGACACGUGAAAUCCUGUCUGAACAUGGGGGG